GACGAACGCUGGCGGCGUGCCUAACACAUGCAAGUCGAGCGGAGUCGAUCGACGGAAGCCUUCGGGCGGAAGAUGGUUGACUUAGCGGCGGAUGGGUGAGUAACGCGUGGGCAACCUGCCUCGAAGACCGGGAUAACAGCCCGAAAGGGCUGCUAAUACCGGAUGUGGUCAAGGAUCCGCAUGGAUUUUUGAUUAAAGGGGAAACCCGUUUCGAGAUGGGCCCGCGUCCUAUCAGCUAGUUGGUGAGGUAAAAGCUCACCAAGGCGACGACGGGUAGCCGGCCUGAGAGGGUGACCGGCCACACUGGAACUGAGACACGGUCCAGACUCCUACGGGGGGCAGCAGUGGGGAAUCUUCCACAAUGGGCGAAAGCCUGAUGGAGCGACGCCGCGUGAGCGAAGAAGGCCUUCGGGUUGUAAAGCUCUGUCUGGAGGGACGAAGGAAGUGACGGUACCCGUACCGGAGGAAGCCACGGCUAACUAACGUG
This 487-nucleotide ribosomal RNA is filed under the name uncultured bacterium. RNAcentral's name for it is "bacterial SSU rRNA". It matches the Rfam family "Bacterial small subunit ribosomal RNA", at positions 28 to 507 of the family's 1533-position model. The record is from RNAcentral.